UGCGAGAGGAGCAAAACAGGCCGUCUCCGUUUGACCGCUUUCUUUAUCCGAUUCAAAAGGUUUGUUUUGUUUUGUUUUUUUGUUUUUCCUUCGUCUUCUUUUUAUGUAAUUCAUGUGAGGUUUGUCUGCUCACAUCUGCACGGCAGCGAGUCGAGGACAUCACAGAGGUGCAGAUGCCGUCACUUGACUCACCAGAGCGUUUCCCUAAAAACAUGAAGUCUGAGUUGGAGAUAUCCCCAGAUAAUGAAGUGUUGGAUUCGCUCAGCAUGGAAACUCCCCAAACUCCCGCAGCCUGCCAAGGAGAAACUGAAGUGUCUUUAAGUAAUCUGGACAAGGUGUGGAAGGAAAAAUGCCACUUUUAUACGGCUCCUUUCCUCUCUUCUCUUAUGAAUGUAAAUUCAUUCAGGGAACAUGCAAUUAGUCUGCAUUUGUCUCGCAUCCAAGCUUGCCUGUGUCUGCUGCGGCUGCUGCUUGUUUUAAAACAUGCCAGACGUCAACAUGCCUCAUGAAUAGCUCAUUAACUGUAAUAUUUGGAUGCCGUAUAUGUGUUGGUGUCUUUUUAAGAAAGCAAAAUGUGUGAAGAAAUGUUGUCUAUCCCACCACGAUUCCAACCGCGAGUGAAUCAGACUCAUCAGAGCCGUCCCCGCAGGCCGUGCUGAAUAUUUGCUGCGAGGGCUGGCAGCAGCAGCAGCAGGAGUCCCCCAGCGACCAGUGAUAGGAUAGCCAAGAGACUGACCCGAGAGACUGACCCGAGAGGACCCGAGAGACUCGGAGGAGUUGUUCUCCUGUGAGAGGGCACUGAAAUCAUCAGAGAUCUUGCUGAAGGGUGAAGCAGUUAUCAUUGGAAAAAAAAAAACAAAAAAAAAAAAAACGUGACUGAUGGAGACCCAGCGAUGCAGAGAGAUCAAAGGGUGAAUCUGACUCCAUGGGGAGGCACCUACUGCAGUGACACAGGGGAUUUGAAGAAACACUGGAGCUGACUGGACACUAAGCGUCACGUUCAUGCUAAGCUCUACCAACUGCCUCAGCCUGACGCCGAGCCCCUAACCUCAACAUCCACAUGUAAUCCCAGGAGCACAUCUGCACCACUUCACCUCUGGAGCACACGGCGCAGAGCUUCAUGUCAGGGCAAAUCUGAGACCGAAUCAAGGCAAAGGUCUAACGCUGUCGGGGCCUGACAUGCUUCAGAGGCAUCUGCAGCAGAGGAGUGCAGAGAUCAAUGUCCUAUUCCAGAACAUCCAGUCCCUCAUCACCUAUCAAAAGACUGUCAGUCCGCGGAAGGUCAAGCCCCGGCAAAGCCUCAUCUCACAGAUGGAAAGACGGCGGCUGCCAAUGGAGCAGCAACAGU
This is a long non-coding RNA of Acanthopagrus latus (yellowfin seabream), 1348 nucleotides long. RefSeq lists it as uncharacterized. The record is from RefSeq and is a predicted model, not a curated record. Lineage: Eukaryota; Metazoa; Chordata; Actinopteri; Spariformes; Sparidae. The transcript is spliced from 5 exons.